GGUAAGGCCUCUUCAUAGAAGCAACGUCAGCGCAAUCUAAUUAACGUUAAAGCACUGAGCUUUCGCAAGGAUAUAAACUCCAUGGAACCCAAAGUCAUCAGAACCACAGACUUGAUCAAGAAUGGGAACUUUAGUCAAUUGCUUGUCUGGAAAAAGCUCUAUUGAAAGUGGAUUAGAGGUCCAACUCAGUUCCAAAUCUUCAAGAAGCUGUCCCAUGAGCCAGUGCAAACACACAUGCCAUCUGGUGGUACUCCGG
Carassius auratus (goldfish) is the source of this 256-nucleotide long non-coding RNA. RefSeq lists it as uncharacterized. NCBI's taxonomy places the organism in Eukaryota, Metazoa, Chordata, Actinopteri, Cypriniformes, Cyprinidae. The transcript has 3 exons. The record is from RefSeq and is a predicted model, not a curated record.